AUGCAACAAAUUAAAAAAAUAGCUAUGGAAAAUCAUGGGCAGCCAUAUGCAAAGAAAAACAUAUUGAUCUUUUUCAAAAGUCGGAUAGUCAUUCCUCUUUGAUCCAACAUCAUGACUUAGCUAUUACAAGAAUUCCAUGAUUCACCUAUUGGAGGGUACUUUGGUUUUCAAUGCAUAUUUAGACGUCUUGCCCAAUAGUUUUAUUGGCCAUCCAU
RNAcentral lists this long non-coding RNA (215 nucleotides) under Carica papaya (papaya). Its description in RNAcentral is "long non-coding RNA (CPAP_LNC012725)". The record is from RNAcentral. Lineage: Eukaryota; Viridiplantae; Streptophyta; Magnoliopsida; Brassicales; Caricaceae.